Cyprinus carpio (common carp) is the source of this 1136-nucleotide long non-coding RNA. Lineage: Eukaryota; Metazoa; Chordata; Actinopteri; Cypriniformes; Cyprinidae. The record is from Ensembl.
AUGCGCAGUAGCCGGACUCGGCGGCUCUUCCGGUUAAAGGAUGACGUCAGGGACACGCGCAAGCAAGACGGUCUUUUCCGGUUCGGAGCGGCGAGGAGUGUGGCAGCUGAGACAUCGUGGCCCCGGAGAUCAGGCUCCUCAGGAGAUGUUGCUCCGUCAGAUGGAAGGUCUCUCUCUGGUUCUGGUUCAGCACUCAGGAGAUGUUUGCCAGCUCCUGCAGAUGCUGGUGAAUGUGGUCAUUAAUGGUGUUUGGGUCAGGAGGAGCGUCGAGCGUCUCAACAGUGCUGUCACCUGAUGUGAUUCUGAAAGAGAAGUGUGCCAGCUCUUUUCUCCAUUCUUCUGCUCCUGACAAACUCUGACAACAGCAGCUGGUGACCGCAGGAGAGUUCACGCGCUGAAGGUACUGCUGCUGCUGUUCAUUAUUCAGAUCUAAAUUAUUCCUGCUUUUAUGAAAAUAACGUGUGAAGAGCGAGGCUAGAGUCACAUCCUGAUGCUGCUCGUGGUCCUGGUGUGCUAUAGUUCUCGCAGAGUAACUCUCUGCUUAUUCAUUGGCUGCUGCUUUCUGUUGCUCAGCCAAUCACCAGCUCAGAAACAACCCCUCUUUAUCAGACUGUUGUUGGUUCUGUGGUAGACUUGCUCAGCGGUGGUUGAAGUGUAAUGUGUGGUUGUCUCUCAAAGCUCCUGCAGAUGCUGGUGAAUGUGGUCAUUAAUGGUGUUUGGGUCAGGAGGAGCGUCGAGCGUCUCAACAGUGCUGUCACCGUGAGUGUUCUUCUUACUGACUGAUUGUGAUUUCUAUGUUUCUGAUCAUAUCUACUCGAUCAGGUAGAGCGAGACUAGAGUCACAUCCUGAUGCUGCUCGUGGUCCUGGUGUGCUAUAGUUCUCGCAGAGUAACUCUCUGCUUAUUCAUUGGCUGCUGCUUUUCAUUGCCCAGCCAGUCACCAGCUCAGAAACAUGCAUCAUCAUCUCAACAAGACAAACACAGACCAGUGUCUAACAGCUGUUCUUUAUUGUCUUAGGGAUCAUCACACCACUACCACCAAAGAUGAGCUGGAAAGUUUAACAGUUGGGCUUCACACAUCUGUUGCUUUAUAAACUUAUGAAUAAAUGAUAUUUCAUAACAGAAAUAUGAAAUGGA